This 367-nucleotide transfer-messenger RNA is filed under the name Dehalococcoidia. RNAcentral's name for it is "JACNFS01 sp014384515 Standard tmRNA". It matches the Rfam family "transfer-messenger RNA". From Rfam's summary of the family: Bacterial tmRNA, also known as 10Sa RNA or SsrA, is named for its dual tRNA and mRNA-like properties. Its role is to liberate the mRNA from a stalled ribosome. To accomplish this part of the tmRNA is used as a reading frame that ends in a translation stop signal. The record is from RNAcentral. RNAcentral also lists the same sequence under 2 other names. Lineage: Bacteria; Bacillati; Chloroflexota.
GGGGAUGAAAGGUCUCGACAGGGAAGGCUGGCCAAGGAUUGCAAGCCGAGGUGCCCUACCCUCGUCAAACAAGGGCAAAUAAAGAUAACAGGCGAACCUCAACUCGCCCUGGCUGCCUAAGAACAGCCACGUCUGACCAGGUCUCCUCCCGAUAGGCCUGGAUCAGAUGCCAUAGAAAUCGGGGUGCGGUGUCCUGGAUGCCGAUAAAGGGCAUCAAAGCCCAGGUCACAAAACCUGGAUCGGCUAGUUCAAACCAGACCCUGUUGGUCGGGGCUGGUUUGAACGAAAAGCAAAAGGCCGACUAAGCUUGUAGCAUAUCCUGGACCGAACUCUCUGGACGCGGGUUCGAUUCCCGCCAUCUCCACCA